GCCGCUGUGGUGAAAUUGGUAGACACAAGAGACUCAAAAUCUCUCGAUAGCGAUAUCAUGUCGGUUCGAGUCCGACCAACGGUACCA
This 87-nucleotide transfer RNA is filed under the name Clostridia bacterium. RNAcentral describes it as "tRNA-Leu". It matches the Rfam family "tRNA". From Rfam's summary of the family: Transfer RNA (tRNA) molecules are approximately 80 nucleotides in length. The record is from RNAcentral. Lineage: Bacteria; Bacillati; Bacillota; Clostridia.